RNAcentral lists this ribosomal RNA (435 nucleotides) under uncultured eukaryote. Its description in RNAcentral is "bacterial SSU rRNA". It matches the Rfam family "Eukaryotic small subunit ribosomal RNA", at positions 11 to 442 of the family's 1831-position model. The record is from RNAcentral.
AUCCUGCCAUUAACAUAUGCUUGUUAUAAAAAUUAACCCUUGCAUGUCUAAUUAUAAAAUUAUUCUAUACUUGAAACUGCAAACGGCUCAUUAAAUCAUUUAUAUUUUAUUUGAUGUUACCUUACUACAUGGAUACCUGUGGUAAUUCUCGAGCUAAUACAUGCGUAAAGGCCCAACUCGGGAGGGGAGGGUUGUAUUUAUUAAAUAAAAAACCAAUACCCACCAAUGCGGUUUUGUGGUGAUUCAUAAUAACUGUGCAAAUCGCAUGGCGCAAGCCGGCAAUAGUUCAUUCAAAUUUCUGCCCUAUCACCUUUCGACGGUAGUGUAUUGAACUACCGUGGCAUUAACGUUUUACGGAAAAUUAGGGUUCGAUUCCGGAGAGGGAGCCUAGAAAACCGCCUACCACAUCCAAGGAAGGCACCAGGCGCGCAAAUU